AAUACAAUAUACCUGGUAGGUCAGUGGGCCCACAAACCGGUAAUUAGCAACAGCCCCUUUAUAGAUAAGGAGAGCCCUUCCGAUGCAGUAACACUACGCUAAACGUCUAAAGUUAACUUGUACAGUUCACCUCCUCCUCAAGGAGGAGAUGUUUAAUCACAUCCACUGUAUUUUGUUGAUUUAAUAGGAAUAAGGAAAUAAGUAAGAAUUAUGAGGAAAACCCACCAUCUGAAAGGCCAAAACAUUUUCUUCUUGUGAAACCACUCUAAAGGUAUUCUGCUUUAGCUGAAUCACCGGGAAGAAGUCUAAUUCCCUCCCUGUCUGCCUUCUUGGGGACACUAUUCAUAUGAAUCACAACUUUACAUAAGUGGACAGCCCUCACCCACCUGUGGAAACUGUAGAAGACAAGAAGUCAAACAACUAUCAAGGGGAAAAAGAAAAUAAGAUUUUGGCAUUUGAUUUCUAACAAGAUGCCACAUCUUGCCACCUCAGCUGUUCUCUGGAACAGAAGUCGUUUAUCCCCAUCCGC
RNAcentral lists this long non-coding RNA (529 nucleotides) under Felis catus (domestic cat). RNAcentral describes it as "lncRNA (ENSFCAG00000048344.1)". Lineage: Eukaryota; Metazoa; Chordata; Mammalia; Carnivora; Felidae. The record is from RNAcentral.